Molecule: transfer RNA, 68 nt
Filed under: Lycaon pictus (African hunting dog)
Lineage: Eukaryota; Metazoa; Chordata; Mammalia; Carnivora; Canidae
Description: tRNA-Gly
Rfam family: tRNA
About the family: Transfer RNA (tRNA) molecules are approximately 80 nucleotides in length. Their secondary structure includes four short double-helical elements and three loops (D, anti-codon, and T loops). Further hydrogen bonds mediate the characteristic L-shaped molecular structure. tRNAs have two regions of fundamental functional importance: the anti-codon, which is responsible for specific mRNA codon recognition, and the 3' end, to which the tRNAs corresponding amino acid is attached (by aminoacyl-tRNA synthetases). tRNAs cope with the degeneracy of the genetic code in two manners: having more than one tRNA (with a specific anti-codon) for a particular amino acid; and 'wobble' base-pairing, i.e. permitting non-standard base-pairing at the 3rd anti-codon position.
Source: RNAcentral
ACUUCUUUAGUAUAACUAGUACAAUUGACUUCCAAUCAAUUAGCUCCAGAUCACUCCGGAAAGAAGUA